UAGGGAAUUUUGCGCAAUGGACGAAAGUCUGACGCAGCGACGCCGCGUGGGUGAUGAAGGCCUUCGGGUUGUAAAGCCCUGUGGGGAGGGACGAAUUAGUGGAAGUUAAUACCUUCCAUGAUGACGGUACCUCCUUAGCAAGCACCGGCUAACUCUGUGCCAGCAGCCGCGGUAAGACAGAGGGUGCAAACGUUGUUCGGAAUUACUGGGCGUAAAGCGCGUGUAGGCGGCCAAGCAAGUCGGAUGUGAAAGCCCUCGGCUCAACCGGGGAAGUGCACUCGAAACUGCAUGGCUAGAGUCUCGGAGAGGAUCGUGGAAUUCUCGGUGUAGAGGUGAAAUUCGUAGAUAUCGAGAGGAACACCGGUGGCGAAGGCGGCGAUCUGGACGAUGACUGACGCUGAGACGCGAAAGCGUGGGGAGCAAACA
This 426-nucleotide ribosomal RNA is filed under the name uncultured Byssovorax sp. Its description in RNAcentral is "bacterial SSU rRNA". It matches the Rfam family "Bacterial small subunit ribosomal RNA", at positions 355 to 774 of the family's 1533-position model. RNAcentral also lists the same sequence under 1 other name. The record is from RNAcentral. Lineage: Bacteria; Pseudomonadati; Myxococcota; Polyangiales; Polyangiaceae.